RNAcentral lists this transfer RNA (65 nucleotides) under Helopeltis sp. Its description in RNAcentral is "tRNA-Tyr". It matches the Rfam family "tRNA". Rfam says of the family: Transfer RNA (tRNA) molecules are approximately 80 nucleotides in length. Their secondary structure includes four short double-helical elements and three loops (D, anti-codon, and T loops). The record is from RNAcentral. Lineage: Eukaryota; Metazoa; Arthropoda; Insecta; Hemiptera; Miridae.
GAUAAGAUGGCUGAAAAUAGGUUGUAAAUUGUAAAUUUAUAUAUAGGAUAAAAUCCUUCUUAUUA